This 459-nucleotide ribosomal RNA is filed under the name uncultured bacterium. Its description in RNAcentral is "partial 16S ribosomal RNA". It matches the Rfam family "Bacterial small subunit ribosomal RNA", at positions 338 to 795 of the family's 1533-position model. The record is from RNAcentral.
CCUACGGGUGGCAGCAGUGAGGAAUAUUGGUCAAUGGUCGGAAGUCUGAACCAGCCAUGCCGCGUGCGGGAAGAAGGUUCAGUGAAUUGUAAACCGCUUUUGUACGGGGACAAACGCGGGUACGUGUCUCUGUCUGAGUGUACCUUACGAAACAGGAUCGGCUAACUCCGUGCCAGCAGCCGCGGUAAUACGGAGGAUUCGAGCGUUAUCCGGAUUUAUUGGGUUUAAGGGGUGCGCAGGGGGGGGUGAAAGUCAGCGGUCAAAGCGCGGGGCUCAACCCCGGCCCGCCGUUGAAACUGCAAGCCUGGAGUGGGAGAGAAGUAUGCGGAAUGCGCGGUGUAGCGGUGAAAUGCAUAGAUAUCACGCAGAACUCCGAUUGCGAAGGCAGCAUACCGGCGCGCAACUGACGCUCAUGCACGAAAGCGUGGGUAUCGAACAGGAUUAGAUACCCGGGUAGUC